CCGGCAUCUAGACUCAUCCCAUUUUGUAAGCAAACCAAGUAAUCAAUACAUAAACAAAGGCAAAUAAAAUGUCGACAUUUCAACAUGCUCGACAACCGUGUAACAUUUUUGUAACACAAUUCAUUGUAUUAAGGCUAGCAACAACUAAAAUGUCAAAAUCAAUAAAAAAAACAAAAAAUGAAACAGUUCAACUUGAAGUCUACUACUUUUUACAUGGACAUGAAAUAAAAAACUAAUUCUCACCAAGUACAUAGACAGACUACAUUCACAAAUCCCUUCAAUUUUUUUUUUCCCGUUCUCUUCCAUAGCUCCUUUUCCCUUGCAUAUGGAUUUCUGCAAAAUGUUUGAACAUAGUCGAUAGAUCGUCAAUUAGAGGUGUAGGAUUGUAUUUCCCCAAACAAAUACAUAUUGAUCCAAAUGAAUAACAGACCUAUGUUUUCGGUCUUCUUUUCUACUUCCAUCCAUUUCAGAAAGCCUGAAGCACAAUUUCGACAUCACUACUUUUUUUGGCAGUCCCGCAGUUGGUGUCCCGACUAUCUAUAACAGUAAGAAAUUCCCUUUUUCUUUCCUACACAACAAAAAGAUACUGAAGAAUGUCAACAUUCCUGAUAUGUAGAAAAUAGUUAAAAUGUGGACAAUUUUGAUAAAUACAGUUAAUAAUUCAAAGAGGUAUUUCUACAAAGCCAGACGUCCAAGAUACUUCUACAAUGCCACUCAUAUUUGUUAUUCUGAAUGUAAUAGAUCUGAUUUAUCCACCAAAUAUUAUAUCAAUAUAUUGAUAUGCUCAGAAUAGAUCCACUUAAAAACGCAGGUACAACAGUCACAAUGUGAAGAAACAUUUGAGAUGACGCACAUAUAAACCUACGAAAAUUAGAAGCACCACACUUUUAUUAUGAAGUC
Molecule: long non-coding RNA, 900 nt
Filed under: Olea europaea subsp. europaea
Lineage: Eukaryota; Viridiplantae; Streptophyta; Magnoliopsida; Lamiales; Oleaceae
Source: RNAcentral